GAUGAAGAACGCAGCGAAAUGCGAUAAGUAAUGUGAAUUGCAGAAUUCAGUGAAUCAUCGAAUCUUUGAACGCACAUUGCGCCCCCUGGUAAUCCGGGGGGCAUGCCUGUUCGAGCGUCAUUUCACCACUCAAGCCUCGCUUGGUAUUGGGCAACGCGGUCCGCCGCGUGCCUCAAAUCGACCGGCUGGGUCUUCUGUCCCCUAAGCGUUGUGGAAACUAUUCGCUAAAGGGUGUUCGGGAGGCUACGCCGUAAAACAACCCCAUUUCUAAGGUUGACCUCGGAUCAGGUAGGGAUACCCGCUGAACUUAAGCAUAUCAAUAAGCGGAGGA
This 331-nucleotide unclassified non-coding RNA is filed under the name soil metagenome. RNAcentral describes it as "partial contains 5.8S ribosomal RNA, internal transcribed spacer 2, and large subunit ribosomal RNA". The stretch from base 1 to 120 matches the Rfam family "5.8S ribosomal RNA", at positions 35 to 154 of the family's 154-position model. The record is from RNAcentral.